This 472-nucleotide ribosomal RNA is filed under the name Streptococcus sp. oral taxon 066. Its description in RNAcentral is "bacterial SSU rRNA". It matches the Rfam family "Bacterial small subunit ribosomal RNA", at positions 28 to 484 of the family's 1533-position model. Lineage: Bacteria; Bacillati; Bacillota; Bacilli; Lactobacillales; Streptococcaceae. The record is from RNAcentral.
GAUGAACGCUGGCGGCGUGCCUAAUACAUGCAAGUAGAACGCUGAAGCUUGGUGCUUGCACCGAGCGGAUGAGUUGCGAACGGGUGAGUAACGCGUAGGUAACCUGCCUGGUAGCGGGGGAUAACUAUUGGAAACGAUAGCUAAUACCGCAUAACAGUAGAUGUUGCAUGACAACUAUUUGAAAGGGGCAAUUGCUCCACUACCAGAUGGACCUGCGUUGUAUUAGCUAGUUGGUGAGGUAACAGCUCACCAAGGCGACGAUACAUAGCCGACCUGAGAGGGUGAUCGGCCACACUGGGACUGAGACACGGCCCAGACUCCUACGGGAGGCAGCAGUAGGGAAUCUUCGGCAAUGGACGGAAGUCUGACCGAGCAACGCCGCGUGAGUGAAGAAGGUUUUCGGAUCGUAAAGCUCUGUUGUGAAGAGAAGAACGAGUGUGAGAGUGGAGAGUUCACACUGGACGAUCUACCA